This 430-nucleotide ribosomal RNA is filed under the name Pseudomonadota bacterium. RNAcentral's name for it is "Proteobacteria bacterium partial 16S ribosomal RNA". It matches the Rfam family "Bacterial small subunit ribosomal RNA", at positions 355 to 776 of the family's 1533-position model. Lineage: Bacteria; Pseudomonadati; Pseudomonadota. The record is from RNAcentral.
UGGGGAAUAUUGGACAAUGGGGGGAACCCUGAUCCAGCCAUGCCGCGUGUGUGAAGAAGGCCUUAUGGUUGUAAAGCACUUUAAGCGAGGAGGAGGGUACUGGUAUUAAUACUACCAGGUACUGGACGUUACUCGCAGAAUAAGCACCGGCUAACUCUGUGCCAGCAGCCGCGGUAAUACAGAGGGUGCGAGCGUUAAUCGGAUUUACUGGGCGUAAAGCGUGCGUAGGCGGCUAAUUGAGUCGGAUGUGAAAUACCCGAGCUUAACUUGGGAAUUGCAUUCGAUACUGGUUAGCUAGAGUGUGGGAGAGGAUGGUAGAAUUCCAGGUGUAGCGGUGAAAUGCGUAGAGAUCUGGAGGAAUACCGAUGGCGAAGGCAGCCAUCUGGCCUAACACUGACGCUGAGGUACGAAAGCAUGGGGAGCAAACAGG